This 84-nucleotide transfer RNA is filed under the name Streptomyces yangpuensis. RNAcentral describes it as "tRNA-Ile". Lineage: Bacteria; Bacillati; Actinomycetota; Actinomycetes; Kitasatosporales; Streptomycetaceae. The record is from RNAcentral.
GUGGAUCACCCGGCGGCAUCCUCCGGAUCGUCCUCGAUCGGACUCAUAAUCCGUCGGCCGUGGGUUCGAGUCCCACCCGCCCCA